UACGUAGGGUGCGAGCGUUGUCCGGAAUUAUUGGGCGUAAAGAGCUUGUAGGUGGUUUGUCGCGUCUGCUGUGAAAAUCCGAGGCUCAACCUCGGACUUGCAGUGGGUACGGGCAGACUAGAGUAUGGCAGGGGAGACUGGAAUUCCUGGUGUAGCGGUGAAAUGCGCAGAUAUCAGGAGGAACACCGGUGGCGAAGGCGGGUCUCUGGGCCAAAACUGACGCUGAGGAGCGAAAGCGUGGGGAGCGAACAGG
RNAcentral lists this ribosomal RNA (253 nucleotides) under uncultured bacterium. RNAcentral's name for it is "partial 16S ribosomal RNA". It matches the Rfam family "Bacterial small subunit ribosomal RNA", at positions 524 to 776 of the family's 1533-position model. The record is from RNAcentral.